This 248-nucleotide non-coding RNA is filed under the name Rattus norvegicus (Norway rat). Lineage: Eukaryota; Metazoa; Chordata; Mammalia; Rodentia; Muridae. The record is from RNAcentral.
AUUUAAGAAACAAUUAAGCACACAGAAGAACAUUAAAUAUUUUUACAAUAGCUUAUUGUUUCCAAGAAGGGCCAUAUAAACUUACUGCCUUAAACAUAAUAUUGAACCUUCUACUAAGCGCCCCUCAUAGAUUGUGGGAAAUUAACAUUAAAUAGCUAAACAUAGAAAAUUCGGAUCUAUAAAUAACACAAAAUACAACUUAACUCUAAUAUGAGCUUAAAUAUGACACACUAUGAUGCAAUAUGAAU